UUAUCAAGAUUGAUAUUAAAUCCUUAAACAUGUCUAAAAAAAAGAUAUUAAAUCCUGAAACAGCUUGGAAACAUAAGAGUACAGCCCUCAAAUUCAUACCAUUUGCUCAACCGGUUGGCAAAAAAUCAUGAUAUCAUCCCCAAUAAAAAAAAAAGAUGAGACACUUCCGCUUAUUGAUUGUUUUUGCCCACCCACAUGCCUCUAAAAGUUCACACUCCUUAGCCUUCUCUAACAUCCUGUUUAUGGCUUUCAUAAUGGUGAUAAAGAGAAGAGGUGAAAAGUUGUCACCUUGCCUUAAGCUGCGGGACACGUUGAAGAAUGAAGAAGGACAACCAUUAAUCAUAACAACAAAGAAUGUACUAGUAAUACACUCCUUGAUCCACCGUCUCCACUUCGCACCAAAACUCAUCUUUCGAAGCAUGUAGUCAAUAAAAUCUCAACUAACAUGGUCAUAGACCUUCUAAAU
This 466-nucleotide long non-coding RNA is filed under the name Carica papaya (papaya). RNAcentral describes it as "long non-coding RNA (CPAP_LNC007649)". Lineage: Eukaryota; Viridiplantae; Streptophyta; Magnoliopsida; Brassicales; Caricaceae. The record is from RNAcentral.